Non-coding RNA from Pteropus alecto (black flying fox), 119 nucleotides. The record is from Rfam. NCBI's taxonomy places the organism in Eukaryota, Metazoa, Chordata, Mammalia, Chiroptera, Pteropodidae.
GUCUAUGGCCAUGACACCUUGAACAAGGCCGAUCCUAUCUGAUCUUGGAAGCUAAGCAGGGUCGGGCCUGGUUAGUACUUGGAUGGGAGACCACCUAGGAAGACCAGGUGCUAUAGGCA